CUUACUAUUCUGUUGUUGCAAUUUGUAGUCCCUCAACUCCAAGUAUGGAUGCAGGGUUCCGCUGCUUCUUUUCAACAAAGAUAACGUUCAUGAUAGUUCUCUAAAGGUUUUGGAAAAGUAUUCAAAAUCAAGCAUUGAAGUGCACACUUUUAAACAGGGUGAAGGUCCAGAAUUGAAAUUAUCGGGUGGACAAAACAGCAAGGGAGAAGUGCAUCCAUUUGAUGAUGUGUUCCGUUCACUAAUGGCUGGUGGAACCCUUGAUUCAUUAUUGGCCCAGGGUAAGGAGUAUAUCCUAGUGUUGAAGUCGGACAAUGUGGCAACAAUCAUAGAUCCAAACAUACUAAAUCAUUUGAUGAUAAAUGAUAUUGAAUAUUGCAUGGAGGUACGCAGAAAAUUUUUAUCUACCAAAUAAAAUGCUGCCACUUCUCUUUUUAAGGUAUAUACGAGUUCUCUGUUUCAUUUUCUU
Molecule: non-coding RNA, 466 nt
Organism: Cajanus cajan (pigeon pea)
Lineage: Eukaryota; Viridiplantae; Streptophyta; Magnoliopsida; Fabales; Fabaceae
Source: RefSeq, a predicted model, not a curated record